This 1381-nucleotide long non-coding RNA is filed under the name Anser brachyrhynchus (Pink-footed goose). RNAcentral's name for it is "lncRNA (ENSABRG00000001386.1)". The record is from RNAcentral. Lineage: Eukaryota; Metazoa; Chordata; Aves; Anseriformes; Anatidae.
AAUCCAAUAAACCGGGGCGUGCAGGAGCCAAAGACACUGAGGAGUGAAACAAAAGCUGUUUAUUCCACCCCAAACGGUCACAGUGAGCAGUGUCAAGCUGACGGUGUAACAGUAAGCAGGCAGCCUCUUUGGCUCUGAGAGUCUGCCCUCCGCCAAGGGCAGCUGACGGAAAUCCCCCAGGACGGGUUUGUUUUCGGCUUUGGCUGUCACCUGUUGGUGGGGCAGAGAGGAAAACCUUCGGGUUUCCUCUUGCUAACCUCCCUCCCGCUACGUGGGAGCGUCCCGCCCCUGCUGCUCUCAGGUUGAGUUGCAGAAUAAAGAAAUGACUGUAGGAACAGGAAUCUGAGCGUGCCUUGGCUUCUGAUCUGCUCCAGAUCUCCUGGCUUUGCAUAUGAAUAACAUCGAGGUGUGCGUCAAACCCAGCUCACACCCCGAGCCCCAUGUCUAGAUAGACCUGCCUGUGCUCUAAGUGCUUGUCGCUCAUCCCUGCUUGCACUUCCCUCUGUUUGGAGUCCUCCCUGAUGUCCUCAGAAAAUUUUGGUUAAAGGACAGGCCCUGAAAUCACUUUUCUUUUCACUAAACCGCCUGUGCUGGUGGUGUGUGGUGCUGAGCUGCCUCCCUGGUGGCCCGGGUGCUGACCGAGCACGGAGCUGCCCCAGGCCCCCGCGAGCGAGACGUCAGCCCUCAAGGCUGCAGGCAGAGAGAGCGAAAGUCCCCGGGGAGUACUUCCCGGCACGGGAAAAAUGUGCAAAAAAAAAGACACUUCUAACUGCUUUCCUCUUAUUAGGUUUUCGAACACCAGGUGUUUCCCUCUGACAUUUCACAAAACCUCCUCCGUGAGGGUUUUGUUGCUUUCAAGACAGUUUCCAGUUAAAAGAAGCUUAUAAAAUCGCCUACUGUGUAACACCUGGUUAACAUCAACCGGUGGGGAAACUCCUGAAGCCCGUGCUAGUGCUAAACGCCCGCUCUCUGAACACGUCACUCCCGGUUUCAGCUCCUGUAGGGCCGUGAAAUGGGGCACGGAGGGGUCCCGGGUCCGAGGCAGGGCUGGGGCAUGUACAAGGACGCACAGAGACAGGGGCUUGCGGGGGGCAGCCUGCUGCUGGGCUGUGCUCCGUGCCUGCAGCAGCCGUCAGCCAGCAGCUCGAGAGGAAUUUCGUAGCAGGCCAGUCUCUGCCGCAGCCGUUGCCUCUGCAAGCUGUAAAAACAAGGCAGCGCCCGUCUGUCACCUCGGUUAGCUGAGGCGGACGUCGCGGUGUGUGAAACCCUCCCAUGAUCAAUGCACGAGUUUGGUGGGGUGAGGGUUUUUUUUUUCUUGUUUUGCUUUUUUUUUUUCUCGUUUUUCUUUUUCUCUUUUUCCCUUUUGUACUGAGCUGUCUUA